CCUACGGGUGGCAGCAGUAGGGAAUAUUGCUCAAUGGGGGAAACCCUGAAGCAGCAACGCCGCGUGGAGGAUGAAGGUUUUCGGUAUGUAAACUCCUUUUGUUAGUGAAGAAAAUGACGGUACCUAACGAAGAAGCACCGGCUAACUCCGUGCCAGCAGCCGCGGUAAUACGGAGGGUGCAAGCGUUAUUCGGAUUCACUGGGCGUAAAGAGCGCGUAGGCGGGAUAGCAAGUCAGAUGUGAAAUCCUAUGGCUUAACCAUAGAACUGCCUUUGAAACUGUUAUUCUAGAGUAUGGGAGAGGUAGGUGGAAUUCUUGGUGUAGCGGUAAAAUCCGUAGAGAUCAAGAGGAAUACUCAUUGCGAAGGCGGCCUGCUAGAACAUAACUGACGCUGAUGCGCGAAAGCGUGGGGAGCAAACAGGAUUAGAUACCCGGGUAGUC
Molecule: ribosomal RNA, 440 nt
Filed under: uncultured bacterium
Lineage: Bacteria
Description: partial 16S ribosomal RNA
Rfam family: Bacterial small subunit ribosomal RNA
Source: RNAcentral